UGGGGGAUAUUGCACAAUGGGCGAAAGCCUGAUGCAGCGACGCCGCGUGGGGGAUGAAGGCCUUCGGGUUGUAAACUUCUUUUGCUCUGAACAAGGCAUGCUAAUGGGUGUGUUGAGUGUAGGGGUUGAUUAGCGCCGGCUAACUACGUGCCAGCAGCCGCGGUAAUACGUAGGGCGCGAGCGUUGUCCGGAAUUAUCGGGCGUAAAGGGCUUGUAGGUGGCUGGUUGCGUCUGUCGUGAAAGCUCAUGGCUUAACUGUGGGUUUGCGGUGGGUACGGGCUGGCUUGAGUGCAGUAGGGGAGGCUGGAAUUCCUGGUGUAGCGGUGGAAUGCGCAGAUAUCAGGAGGAAUACCGGUGGCGAAGUCGGGUCUCUGGGCUGUUACUGACACUGAGGAGCGAAAGCAUGGGGAGCGAACAGG
This 419-nucleotide ribosomal RNA is filed under the name bacterium. RNAcentral describes it as "partial 16S ribosomal RNA". It matches the Rfam family "Bacterial small subunit ribosomal RNA", at positions 355 to 776 of the family's 1533-position model. The record is from RNAcentral.